Molecule: ribosomal RNA, 563 nt
Filed under: Escherichia coli
Lineage: Bacteria; Pseudomonadati; Pseudomonadota; Gammaproteobacteria; Enterobacterales; Enterobacteriaceae
Description: partial 23S ribosomal RNA
Rfam family: Bacterial large subunit ribosomal RNA
Source: RNAcentral
CCGGCGAUUUCCGAAUGGGGAAACCCAGUGUGUUUCGACACACUAUCAUUAACUGAAUCCAUAGGUUAAUGAGGCGAACCGGGGGAACUGAAACAUCUAAGUACCCCGAGGAAAAGAAAUCAACCGAGAUUCCCCCAGUAGCGGCGAGCGAACGGGGAGGAGCCCAGAGCCUGAAUCAGUGUGUGUGUUAGUGGAAGCGUCUGGAAAGGCGCGCGAUACAGGGUGACAGCCCCGUACACAAAAAUGCACAUACUGUGAGCUCGAUGAGUAGGGCGGGACACGUGGUAUCCUGUCUGAAUAUGGGGGGACCAUCCUCCAAGGCUAAAUACUCCUGACUGACCGAUAGUGAACCAGUACCGUGAGGGAAAGGCGAAAAGAACCCCGGCGAGGGGAGUGAAAAAGAACCUGAAACCGUGUACGUACAAGCAGUGGGAGCCUCUUAAUGGGGUGACUGCGUACCUUUUGUAUAAUGGGUCAGCGACUUAUAUUCUGUAGCAAGGUUAACCGAAUAGGGGAGCCGAAGGGAAACCGAGUCUUAACUGGGCGUUAAGUUGCAGGGUAUA